This 253-nucleotide ribosomal RNA is filed under the name uncultured bacterium. Its description in RNAcentral is "partial 16S ribosomal RNA". It matches the Rfam family "Bacterial small subunit ribosomal RNA", at positions 524 to 776 of the family's 1533-position model. The record is from RNAcentral.
UACGGGGGGGGCAAGCGUUGUUCGGAAUUACUGGGCGUAAAGGGCUCGUAGGUGGCCAACUAAGUCAGACGUGAAAUCCCUCGGCUUAACCGGGGAACUGCGUCUGAUACUGGAUGGCUUGAGUUCGGGAGAGGGAUGCGGAAUUCCAGGUGUAGCGGUGAAAUGCGUAGAUAUCUGGAGGAACACCGGUGGCGAAGGCGGCUCUCUGGGACGGUACUGACGCUGAGACGCGAAAGCGUGGGGAGCAAACAGG